This 352-nucleotide unclassified non-coding RNA is filed under the name soil metagenome. RNAcentral describes it as "partial contains 5.8S ribosomal RNA, internal transcribed spacer 2, and large subunit ribosomal RNA". The stretch from base 1 to 120 matches the Rfam family "5.8S ribosomal RNA", at positions 35 to 154 of the family's 154-position model. The record is from RNAcentral.
GAUGAAGAACGUAGCGAAAUGCGAUAAGUAAUGUGAAUUGCAGAAUUCAGUGAAUCAUCGAAUCUUUGAACGCACAUUGCGCCCGCCAGUAUUCUGGCGGGCAUGCCUGUUCGAGCGUCAUUACAACCCUCAGGCCCCCGGGCCUGGCGUUGGGGAUCGGCGGAGCCCACCGUGGGCACACGCCGUCCCCCAAAUGCAGUGGCGGUCCCGCCGCAGCUUCCAUCGCGUAGUAGCUAACACCUCGCGACUGGAGAGCGGCGCGGCCACGCCGUAAAACACCCAACUCUUCUGAAGUUGACCUCGAAUCAGGUAGGAAUACCCGCUGAACUUAAGCAUAUCAAUAAGCGGAGGA